AACCAGCACCUCAAGUGGUCAGGAGGAUUAUUGGGCCUAAAGCAUCCGUAGCCGGCUUUGUUAGUUUUCGGUUAAAUCCAUGUGCUUAACUCAUGGGCUGCCGAAAAUACUGCAAGGCUAGGGAGUGGGAGAGGUAGACGGUACUCGAUAGGAAGGGGUAAAAUCCUUUGAUCUAUUGAUGACCACCUGUGGCGAAGGCGGUCUACCAGAACACGUUCGACGGUGAGGGAUGAAAGCUGGGGGAGCAAACCGG
This 253-nucleotide ribosomal RNA is filed under the name uncultured archaeon. RNAcentral's name for it is "partial 16S ribosomal RNA". It matches the Rfam family "Archaeal small subunit ribosomal RNA", at positions 474 to 727 of the family's 1478-position model. The record is from RNAcentral.